Molecule: small RNA, 365 nt
Filed under: Arabidopsis thaliana (thale cress)
Lineage: Eukaryota; Viridiplantae; Streptophyta; Magnoliopsida; Brassicales; Brassicaceae
Description: ATSL197360
Source: RNAcentral
UUUCAGAAUCAAAUAUGGCUAGAUGUCAUGUGUAUGAUUGAGUAUAAGAACUAGAACCGCAACUAAUUCCCAAAAGCUAUAUUAAUGUUUCCUUGUUAGAAGAUACAAAGCUAAAAACUCAUACGGACUUCGGCUAAGCCAUUAAUGUUUUGAGAAGCAAUAAGAAGCUUGGUUAUUUUUUUGGAGUCAAAUAUGACUAGAUGUCAUGUGUAUGAUUGAGUAUAAGAACUAGAACCGCAACCGAUUCCCAAAAGCUAAAGUAAUGUUUCCUUGUUUGAAGAUACAAAGUCAAAGACUCAUACGGACUUCGGCUACACCAUCAAAACUUUGUGAGGCAAUAAGAAGCGUCGUUAGUUUUUGGGAGU